AGAAUAGCCGCAAGGCUCUAAAGGUGAGGGUGAGAAAAAAUCGUAUAAAAGGAGAGAGAAACGGCCACUGGAAAUCAGUCGAGUGGGCAUCUCCGACCCGACAACAACUGUAAUAUUUGUUACCAAGAACUGCGUUCUUCCCAUUCGUAUUCGAAGUUAAUUAUGGCGUCGUUCUGCUGUUGGUUAUCGUUGUGUCGAUCAGUGGUGUACCGAUGUCUCCUGGGUAUGGCGGAUAUCAAACCGCAACGCCGCCGUCUUACUAUCAAACGCAAACGACCAGCUACUACACCGAGGCCCCCAACUACUACACUGAGAAGGCCGAAUAUUACACAGCUACGUAUGCUGCCCCAGUUUACUACACCGACGGGCCCAAGUAUUACUCUGCUCCAAGCUACUACCAAACAGAGGCUUCUGACUACACCGAGGCCCCCGAGUAUUAAACUACAACCUACGCUGCCCCCAGCUACUACACUGGAACUCCGAAGUUAUCCACCACCAAGGAAAUGGAACACCCCAACCUACGCUUCUCCACCUUACUACACACGGCAACGUGCGCUAUUAGUCACCAAGUGCAGUCUUGAUCGUGCAACCAAUUCUCAUGCUUAGUUUUGACGUCGUGCUGCUGUUGGGUGUUCUAUCGUUGCUAGCGGGUCGACCACUGGUGUAUCGAACUCCACCGAGGUUGGGUGAGGACUGUACGUGUUGCAUCACUCUCAAGUGGGUGCAAUAGCCGUGAGGCUCAAGAGGUGAAUCAGGAUGAGAAAGUCGUAUAAAAGGAGAGGGAAAGGGCGAUGGAGAUCAGUCGAGUGAGCAUCUCCUACUCGGCAACAACUGCAGCACAAUAUUGGUCAUCAACUGCAUUCUUUCAAUUCUCAAUCAUGGUUAACUAUGGCGUCGUUCGUUGGUUAUCGUUUAUUGCCGAGUCUAUUAAUGUUGUACCGAUGUCUCAUGGUUAUGGAAGAUACCAAACCGCAACGUCACCACCUAACUACACAACAUAGGCGACAGCCAGUUACUACACGAGGCCCACAAGUACUACUCCAAUCCCAGCUACUAUACCGAGGCUCCAGCUUAUUACACCAUCGAGGCCCACAAAAACUACACCACCAAGGCAUCGGAGUAUUACACCACAACCUGCGCUGCUCCAGACUACUACACCGAGGCUCCAAAGCACUACACCAUCACAGAACCGGAGUACUACGCGGCUACGUAUGCUGCCCCAGCUUACUACACCGGGUCUCACAAUUAUUACUCUGCUCCAGCUUACUACACCGAGACUACCAAAUACUAUUCAGCACCCAGCUACAUACCUACAACUACACAGCGGCUGCUUCAUCGUACUACGUUGAUCCGAAUUACUACUCCGAGGUUCCAGUUUACUACACCAAAAUCUACGCUUUCCCCCAGCUGCUACACUGAAGCUCCUGUUCACUGCAACACAAAGGCACCCGAGUAUUACACCACUACUUAGGCUGCUCCGACCUAAUGUACCGAAGCUGCGAAGUAUUACUUGCCCCAGUUACAACACCACUACAAAAAGACCGAAAAAGACUUAUUCUAAAUCCAAAAUUUUUCCUUGUAAAUGGAAAUUGAUCCUUAUUAGAAUACACUUUUAAUGCGAGUAA
This 1625-nucleotide long non-coding RNA is filed under the name Daphnia pulex (common water flea). RNAcentral's name for it is "uncharacterized LOC124207768". The record is from RNAcentral. Lineage: Eukaryota; Metazoa; Arthropoda; Branchiopoda; Diplostraca; Daphniidae.